This 446-nucleotide ribosomal RNA is filed under the name uncultured bacterium. Its description in RNAcentral is "partial 16S ribosomal RNA". It matches the Rfam family "Bacterial small subunit ribosomal RNA", at positions 338 to 795 of the family's 1533-position model. The record is from RNAcentral.
CCUACGGGGUGCAGCAGUCGAGAAUCAUUCACAAUGGGGGAAACCCUGAUGGUGCGACGCCGCGUGGGGGAAUGAAGGUCUUCGGAUUGUAAACCCCUGUCAUGUGGGAGCAAAUUAAAAAGAUAGUACCACAAGAGGAAGAGACGGCUAACUCUGUGCCAGCAGCCGCGGUAAUACAGAGGUCUCAAGCGUUGUUCGGAAUCACUGGGCGUAAGGCGUGCGUAGGCUGUUUCGUAAGUCGUGUGUGAAAGGCGCGGGCUCAACCCGCGGACGGCACAUGAUACUGCGAGACUAGAGUAAUGGAGGGGGAACCGGAAUUCUCGGUGUAGCAGUGAAAUGCGUAGAUAGCGAGAGGAACACUCGUGGCGAAGGCGGGUUCCUGGACAUUAACUGACGCUGAGGCACGAAGGCCAGGGGAGCGAAAGGGAUUAGAUACCCCGGUAGUC